AUUGAACGCUGGCGGCAGGCCUAACACAUGCAAGUCGAGCGAGUGGCGGACGGGUGAGUAAUGUAUGGGGAACUGCCUGAUGGAGGGGGAUAACUACUGGAAACGGUGGCUAAUACCGCAUACCAUCGGAUGUGCCCAGAUGGGAUUAGCUAGUAGGUGGGGUAAAGGCUCACCUAGGCGACGAUCCCUAGCUGGUCUGAGAGGAUGACCAGCCACACGGGGACUGAGACACGGCCCAGACUCCGACGGGAGGCAGCAGUGGGGAAUAUUCGACAAUGGGCGCAAGUCUGAUGCAGCCAUGCCGCGUGUAUGAAGAAGGUUUUCGGGUUGUAAAGCACUUUUAUUGGGGAGGCGUUAUCUGCACAAGAAGCCACGGCUAACUCCGUGCCAGCCGCCGCGGUAAUAC
This 406-nucleotide ribosomal RNA is filed under the name uncultured bacterium. Its description in RNAcentral is "partial 16S ribosomal RNA". It matches the Rfam family "Bacterial small subunit ribosomal RNA", at positions 30 to 526 of the family's 1533-position model. The record is from RNAcentral.